This 561-nucleotide ribosomal RNA is filed under the name uncultured bacterium. Its description in RNAcentral is "bacterial SSU rRNA". It matches the Rfam family "Bacterial small subunit ribosomal RNA", at positions 75 to 652 of the family's 1533-position model. The record is from RNAcentral.
CCUCUUCGGAGGGUGUAUAGAGUGGCGCACGGGUGAGUAACACGUAAGUAAUCUACCCUCGAGUGGGGAAUAACAGUCGGAAACGACUGCUAAUACCGCAUAAUGCAGCGGCACCGCAAGGUGACAGUUGUUAAAGAUUUAUUGCUUGAGGAGGAGCUUGCGGCAGAUUAGCUAGUUGGUAAGGUAAUGGCUUACCAAGGCAACGAUCUGUAGCCGGUCUAAGAGGACGGUCGGUCACACUGACACUGAAUAACGGGUCAGACUCCUACGGGAGGCAGCAGUCGGGAAUUUUGGGCAAUGGGCGAAAGCCUGACCCAGCAACGCCGCGUGAAGGAUGAAGUAUUUCGGUAUGUAAACUUCGAAAGAAUAGGAAGAAUAAAUGACGGUACUAUUUAUAAGGUCCGGCUAACUACGUGCCAGCAGCCGCGGUAAUACGUAGGGACCAAGCGUUGUUCGGAUUUACUGGGCGUAAAGGGCGCGUAGGCGGCAUGACAAGUCACUUGUGAAAUCUCCGGGCUUAACUCGGAACGGCCAAGUGAUACUGUCGCGCUAGAGUGCAGA